CUGUUUAGCAAAAACACAGGUCUAUGCAAAACCGAAAGGUGAGGUAUAUGGGCUGACGCCUGCCCGGUGCUGGAAGGUUACGAGGAGGGGUUAGCGGCAACGCGAAGCUCUGAAUUUAAGCCCCAGUAAACGGCGGCCGUAACUAUAACGGUCCUAAGGUAGCGAAAUUCCUUGUCGGGUAAGUUCCGACCCGCACGAAAGGCGUAAUGAUUUGAGCGCUGUCUCAACAAUGCACCCGGUGAAAUUGAAAUACCAGUGAAGAUGCUGGUUACCUGCGCCAGGACGGAAAGACCCCAUGGAGCUUUACUCCAGCUUGAUACUGGGAUUCGGUACUGCAUGUACAGGAUAGGUGGGAGGCAGUGAAGAUAGGACGCCAGUCUUAUCAGAGCCGAUGUUGGGAUACCACCCUUGCGGUAUUGGAUUUCUAACCUGCAGCCAUGACCUGGCUGGGGGACAAUGUCAGGCGGGGAGUUUGACUGGGGCGGUCGCCUCCGAAAGGGUAUCGGAGGCGCUCAAAGGUUCCCUCAGAAUGGACGGAAAC
RNAcentral lists this non-coding RNA (541 nucleotides) under Lacrimispora celerecrescens. RNAcentral's name for it is "bacterial LSU rRNA". It matches the Rfam family "Bacterial large subunit ribosomal RNA", at positions 1800 to 2338 of the family's 2925-position model. Lineage: Bacteria; Bacillati; Bacillota; Clostridia; Lachnospirales; Lachnospiraceae. The record is from RNAcentral.